GUGACGUGUUCAUUUUAUUGUAAAUAAAAUGCACGGUUUGACCAGCGUUGCCAAGUUACCGACUUUGCACCCGCUUCGAAUGUUAUCAGUCCAUUAAAUGAACGUUAUUAGCAGUUUUCAGGCCCAUAGUUAAGAGCCAGUAGGUGCCGUCUCCACCUCCUAGCUGGUCGAAAAAGUUAUCAUCGUUCUAAUCAAGGAUUACUGACAGACGCAUGAAGGACUACAGAAUCCAUGCUCGCUGACUUCCGGCGGAAGUCGCAGUGCUUACAGGUGUGGGAACAGUGGUUCAGAGGGUGCACUUCAGGACUGUUAAAUGAAGUUGGUGAGAUGUACUGGAUUCAUCCCUGUGCAAAGAUAUCUACAGAUUACUGGACUGACCACAUCAACCUUUUGUGAGGUCUGUCUAAAGAAGACUAACAACAAUUCAGUGCAGCAUCCUGAGAAGAUGGAUGUGAGGACAGAAGCACACAAACAUGUAGUUGCAGUGAGCUGCCAGUAAUUAUAAAUGGAUUUGUUCCUCUAACUCAUGUCUGUCUCUCUAUUAGACCUGUGACACAUUGGUGACCUGUCCAGGGUGAACCUGCCUGUGCCUGCUGGGAUAGGCUCCAGCCCUCCACCCACACCCUGACAAUCAGAUGUGGACAGACUAACUUCUUUUUUAGAUUGUUCUAAAAGUCUGUUGCGAUGUGUUAAGCAAUGUAUUCAUAUUUAAUUUAAAAAAAGAAUCAAUGAUUUUCUAUAAAUUUGUGAUGCAUUUUUGUUUACUGAUUCCAAGAUGGCGUAGUGGUCUUUAGAGAAAUCCUGUUUGGAUUUUUAAAUGUUAUUUCUGUUUUCUGUUGCUAGCGCAGCUCUGCAGUCACUAUCCAGGUGGGUCAGUGGGAGCAGAAGCCCUCUGCUGAUGUACAGGCUCUGAUCAGCAACAUCCAGCAAGACCCACACAGCCUCUUCUUGCUGGAGCUUUUUGUUUGCCUGUGACUGGAGAGUCAGAUUUCUGUUGGGAGGUUGCAGCUCCCUGUGCUGGAGAAACCACUUCACACCUGCAGAGGUGGACCGUGAUGUGAUUGUGACCCGGGCUGCCACCUUUGGUCUUGUGAGGAAGCAAAGCUCAGAAAGAAGGAAUCCCUGCAGUCCUGUUCUUUUAGCUCCAAGCCUGCUCAGCUUUAAUCACAGAGGAAGCAGCAGAGCAGCAGACAGUUUGAGAGGUUUGGGCUCACAGAUGGUGACAGCAUGGAGAGACUGUGGUCCUUCCCCUGAAGAACUGCAGGAGUCACAGAGGAGAUGACUCCAUCUCACUGUCUGGACUUGCUGACUGAUGUUCUUCUGCACUGCAGAUGCUGAGUAUGACCUCAGAGGCCAGCUGGUCUGCAGAGUUACAAGUGAAUCAAGGCGGAGGGCAGUCUGCCUGCAGCUGCAAAGAAUACAUCCAGGUGAAGACUCAGAUGGGCAGGAUCUCAGCAUCAGACUGUCCAAACAGGCUCCAGCUUCAACAGCAGACUGAGACAGCCAACAAGAGAAAACAGCACCUUCAGUGGGCUCCACAGGUCAAAGGUGACGUUUUAAAGAGUCUUCAGAGAGUAGGGACUGAUGUCAUGUAUCGAUCACAACGAUAAUGAAGAUGACAGCGAGAGCAGCUACGACUGUAAAAGUCUGACCACGACUGUUUUGCACUUGUUUUACAAACAAAAUUCAACAAACUCAGUUUAACUGAAAAAACUGCAUUUUUACAGGCCACACUCACUGCACAUAAGAAAAGAAUAAUUUAAUCACUGAUGACUUAGUGACUUUAUAAAAGCUUUAAGUAGAGCCAGCUUUGAAUAUUAACACUUACCAUAUUGUACCUGUACAGCGUGUUUAUGUACAUAUAUGAUGCAUGAGAUGUUUUGCAUGUUGAGGUCAUUUCCUGAUUUAUUUUGUAAUCUUUGUUGGUUUUCUCUUCUUUGGAACUGAUUGUGAGUCAGUGUGUAACCUCACCUGCUUCCCUUUGUUCCACAUGACUUUAAGUUUUUUUAUUUCUGUUUACUUAAAUUUCUGUUUCAUUUUGAUCUGUGUUGUGUGACUCUUGCAGACUGUUUUGUGGACUGCUUGCCUCGCUGUGUAUACACUGUCUGUUUUUGAAUAAAGAUUUGGAUUUUUGACUUUUA
Molecule: long non-coding RNA, 2141 nt
Organism: Archocentrus centrarchus (flier cichlid)
Lineage: Eukaryota; Metazoa; Chordata; Actinopteri; Cichliformes; Cichlidae
Exons: 7
Source: RefSeq, a predicted model, not a curated record